This 1145-nucleotide long non-coding RNA is filed under the name Bos grunniens (domestic yak). Its description in RNAcentral is "lncRNA (ENSBGRG00000015109.1)". The record is from RNAcentral. Lineage: Eukaryota; Metazoa; Chordata; Mammalia; Artiodactyla; Bovidae.
UCUCCUCCUCCCUGCGCAGGAGGAGCGGGAGCCUCCCCCCACAGCCCGGGCAGCACAGAGGGUCUGCGGGGUCUGCCGCACCCGGCUUACCCGGCAGGUCAGCGCCCUUAGGUGGGCCAGGAUCUUGCGGCUGUCCAUGCCCCGCUGCAGGAGGUAACCACUGCAGGUCUGAAAGCAACCACAGCCCAGCGUCCAGACACACGGCCACGGUGUGCACUCCAGGGGCGAAGCCGGUCGGAGUGUGCAGUGGCAGCCAGAGGCCUGGGGGCUUCUCGGCAGGAGGACCCCACAGCACCCCUUCAUGGGGAGAGCCUGGGGGCUGGGCUGCGAUUCAGAGUCCCCGGCUGUCCUGGCCAUGGUCAGCUGGGACGCCACGGAUCGAGGGGCUACACCCAGCCUGGUGGACCCGUGGAGGAAUAUGGGGAAGUCGGGCAUGUGGGGGUCCGUAGGCGGUCAGGGGUCCGCGCUCGGGCCCAGGCUACCCCCAUCCACCCUGCUGGUGGAUGCACUGGAGACCAGGAGAGGCUGGGGGAAGGUCGUGAGAUGAGCAGCAGAGGCCCCUGGCCGCCCAUCCACGAAUGAACCCAUGCGCUCCCCGUCCGACCCCGACCUGCCCCAGAGACGAGAGCCUGUCCGGCCCCCCGCAGUGCAGGUACCUCGAUGGCCUCCGCGGCAGAAGGCCGCUCCUGGGCGCUGCGUCUGGCCAUGUGCAGGAGGAGCGUCUUGAGCCUGCGUGGCAGGGCCAGCUUGCGGUCUCGGGGGACACUGAACUUGGCGGCCGUCCACAGGACCGCAGCCACGCAGUAUACGGAGGCCUGGGUGGGCAGAGGGGCGGGCGGCGGGCUCAGAACUGCCCACAAGCGGGGGGCGUCCUCAGAGCUUGGAGCCCCACCACAGAUGGCAAGCUGCACACCAGGCUCUGGCCUGGGGCUCUGACCAGUACCCACAGGCAUCAGAGCCUCAGCGUGAGCAGGAGGACCUGGGCCCCGGCCACACCUUCCAGCUUGCUCUCCACGAGGGGAAGGUGGCCCUGCGGGGGCCCGAGGCCCAGAGCUCCCCGAAACCCUACCGUGCUGCUAAACGCUGACAACAGGCUCCCUGAACAAAGCACGUCCUCCCGGUGCCCACAGAGGUCUGUUUUAUAA